UCCCUGGUGGUCUAGUGGUUAGAACUCAGCCCUGUCACUGCUAUAGCCCAGGUUUAGUCCCUGGUCUGGGAA
This 72-nucleotide transfer RNA is filed under the name Sus scrofa (pig). It matches the Rfam family "tRNA". From Rfam's summary of the family: Transfer RNA (tRNA) molecules are approximately 80 nucleotides in length. Their secondary structure includes four short double-helical elements and three loops (D, anti-codon, and T loops). Lineage: Eukaryota; Metazoa; Chordata; Mammalia; Artiodactyla; Suidae. The record is from Rfam by way of RNAcentral.